RNAcentral lists this ribosomal RNA (498 nucleotides) under uncultured bacterium. Its description in RNAcentral is "bacterial SSU rRNA". It matches the Rfam family "Bacterial small subunit ribosomal RNA", at positions 29 to 521 of the family's 1533-position model. The record is from RNAcentral.
AACGAACGCUGGCGGCGCGCCUAAUACAUGCAAGUCGAGCGAGAAGACGUAGCAAUACGUUUGUAAAGCGGCGAACGGGUGAGGAAUACAUGGGUAACCUACCCUCGAGUGGGGAAUAACCAGCCGAAAGGUUAGCUAAUACCGCGUACGCUCCUUGGACUUCGGUUCAGGGAGGAAAGCGAUACCGUGGGUAUCGCGCUCUUGGAUGGGCUCAUGUCCUAUCAGCUUGUUGGGAGGUAACGGCUCACCAAGGCUUCGACGGGUAGCUGGUCUGAGAGGACGAUCAGCCACACUGGCACUGCGACACGGGCCAGACUCCUACGGGAGGCAGCAGUAAGGAUAUUGCGCAAUGGGCGAAAGCCUGACGCAGCGACGCCGCGUGGGGGAUGAAGGUCUUCGGAUUGUAAACCCCUUUUCGGGAGGGAAGAUGGAACGAGCAAUCGUUCGGACGGUACCUCCAGAAGCAGCCACGGCUAACUUCGUGCCAGCAGCCGCUGU